Molecule: ribosomal RNA, 229 nt
Filed under: uncultured bacterium
Lineage: Bacteria
Description: partial 16S ribosomal RNA
Rfam family: Bacterial small subunit ribosomal RNA
Source: RNAcentral
UGCGUAGGCGGAAUAAUAAGUCAGCGGUGAAAGCCUGUGGCUUAACCAUAGAAUUGCCGUUGAUACUGUUAUUCUUGAGUAUAGUUGAAGUGGGCGGAAUGUGUAAUGUAGCGGUGAAAUGCUUAGAUAUUACACAGAACACCAAUUGCGAAGGCAGCUCACUAAGCUGUUACUGACGCUGAGGCACGAAAGCGUGGGGAGCAAACAGGAUUAGAUACCCUGGUAGUCC